RNAcentral lists this non-coding RNA (455 nucleotides) under Ligilactobacillus pobuzihii. Its description in RNAcentral is "Lactobacillus pobuzihii Bacterial large subunit ribosomal RNA". It matches the Rfam family "Bacterial large subunit ribosomal RNA", at positions 142 to 594 of the family's 2925-position model. The record is from Rfam by way of RNAcentral. Lineage: Bacteria; Bacillati; Bacillota; Bacilli; Lactobacillales; Lactobacillaceae.
UAGUUAUGAUCGCUGGCUGAAUACAUAGGUCAGUCGAGGAUAGACGCGGGGAACUGAAACAUCUCAGUACCCGCAGGAAAGUAAAGAAAUUUCGAUUCCCCCAGUAGCGGCGAGCGAACGGGGAACAGCCCAAACCAAGAAGCUUGCUUCUUGGGGUUGUAGGACUGGACAUUUGAGUUAACAAGAAAGACUGUAGCUAAACGACUUGGGAAGGUCGGCCACAGCGGGUGACAGCCCCGUAAGCGAAACAGUUUUUCCUCAGUCUAGGAUCCUGAGUACGGCGGAACACGUGUAACUCCGUCGGAAACCGGGAGGACCAUCUCCCAAGGCUAAAUACUACCUAGUGACCGAUAGUGAACCAGUACCGUGAGGGAAAGGUGAAAAGCACCCCGGGAGGGGAGUGAAAUAGUUCCUGAAACCAUGUGCCUACAAGUAGUCAGAGCCCGUUAAGGGGU